RNAcentral lists this transfer RNA (77 nucleotides) under Verrucomicrobiaceae bacterium. Its description in RNAcentral is "tRNA-Ala". It matches the Rfam family "tRNA". Rfam says of the family: Transfer RNA (tRNA) molecules are approximately 80 nucleotides in length. The record is from RNAcentral. Lineage: Bacteria; Pseudomonadati; Verrucomicrobiota; Verrucomicrobiia; Verrucomicrobiales; Verrucomicrobiaceae.
GGGGGAUUAGCUCAGUUGGGACGAGCGCUUCCAUGGCAUGGAAGAGGUCAUCGGUUCGACCCCGAUAUCCUCCACCA